GACGAACGCUGGCGGCGUGCUUAACACAUGCAAGUCGAACGGAAAGGCCCUGCUUUUGUGGGGUGCUCGAGUGGCGAACGGGUGAGUAACACGUGAGUAACCUGCCCUUGACUUUGGGAUAACUUCAGGAAACUGGGGCUAAUACCGGGUAGGAGCUCCUGCUGCAUGGUGGGGGUUGGAAAGUUUCGGCGGUUGGGGAUGGACGCGCGGCUUAUCCGCUUGUUGGUGGGGUAGUGGCUUACGAAGGCUUCGACGGGUAGCCGGCCUGAGAGGGUGACCGGCCACAUUGGUACUGAGAUACGGCCCAGACUCCUACGGGAGGCAGCAGUGGGGAAUAUUGCACAAUGGGCGGAAGCCUGAUGCAGCAACGCCGCGUGCGGGAUGACGGCCUUCGGGUUGUAAACCGCUUUCGCCGGUGACGAAGCGUGAGUGACGGUAAUGGGUAAAGAAGCACCGGCUAACUACGUG
RNAcentral lists this ribosomal RNA (468 nucleotides) under uncultured bacterium. RNAcentral describes it as "partial 16S ribosomal RNA". It matches the Rfam family "Bacterial small subunit ribosomal RNA", at positions 28 to 507 of the family's 1533-position model. The record is from RNAcentral.